UGGCGGGUAGUUCAAUCGGCAGAACGCCUGACUUUGGAUCAGGAGGUUCCAGGUUCGAGCCCUGGCCCGCCAGCGA
This 76-nucleotide transfer RNA is filed under the name Acidimicrobiales bacterium. RNAcentral describes it as "tRNA-Gln". It matches the Rfam family "tRNA". Rfam says of the family: Transfer RNA (tRNA) molecules are approximately 80 nucleotides in length. Their secondary structure includes four short double-helical elements and three loops (D, anti-codon, and T loops). Lineage: Bacteria; Bacillati; Actinomycetota; Acidimicrobiia; Acidimicrobiales. The record is from RNAcentral.